This is a long non-coding RNA of Danio aesculapii, 493 nucleotides long. RefSeq lists it as uncharacterized. The transcript has 4 exons. NCBI's taxonomy places the organism in Eukaryota, Metazoa, Chordata, Actinopteri, Cypriniformes, Danionidae. The record is from RefSeq and is a predicted model, not a curated record.
UCUUCUGGACCUGUUCCCCAGCGGGCCCCUUGGCACCCGACCCGAUACCUGGACCAUCUGUGUGCCAUCGUCCACCAGUGAUACCAUCUGCCACUGAUGAACCCACGUACACAGCUCAUGUGAAGAUGAAAGAAUCUGAGCUGGAUUGGACUGACAUGAGGGGUUUGCAGUGAAGAGCUGAACGCUGCUGGAGUAAUUACUGGAUUUCACAGGUUUUCAAGAACAAACCAUCUCGUCAUCCUCAAACACAAAUCCACAGUGUUUCUUCAACUCGCCAGACAAUUGAAAACUGAAACUGUCUACGAGCAAAGAUGCUUGAGCGGAUGAGGGAGAUUGAUGGGUUACAUCACUGGAGAGGAGGAGAGAGGAGUACACUGGAUAGGUGAGAGAAGCUUCACAGUUAAACAGCUGAGAGCGCAAGUGCCACGUUUUGCUGAAUUUAAUUGCUUUGACAAACUUUUUCCCUUCACUUGUUGCGAAGAGGAUUUUCUUC